Oreochromis aureus is the source of this 2191-nucleotide long non-coding RNA. RefSeq lists it as uncharacterized. The transcript is spliced from 2 exons. The record is from RefSeq and is a predicted model, not a curated record. Lineage: Eukaryota; Metazoa; Chordata; Actinopteri; Cichliformes; Cichlidae.
GCUGAUAUAAGGCCCAGCGCUCUCUUAAACUUGUAAAGAGACCUGUAAGUUAUCUUUUUUCCAUCUCCGCUCAGCCCUACGUAGGUGAACAUCUGGACUGUGACUCUGCUGUUUCUGUGGCAUGUCGAGAGUCCUCAGUGGAUGGUCUGAAGGAGUGUGUGACACAUCUUCAUCAUACCUACCUGGGCCUCAGUUGUUCAGGUCACCUGGAAGCAGGAUUGGACACUGAACUGAACAUAUACGAAUAUUCCCAAACCCCUCCUGCAGGGAUCGUUCACGCAUCCUGCUGCCUGGUGUGACUUUAUACUGUAAAUGUUACCGGGUCUGAAACCACAUCUAGUUCACAUUUUAGAGAAAUUUACAGAAAAUGUUGAGUGGAGUCUGUUUUUUUUUUUUUAACUCUGGGGUGCUGAUUUCCACCUUUGGAACGUAUACCAGUAAACAUUUUUUAAAGCAGUAUUAUUAUCAGAUGUUUUUAAAAUAUGGGGUAGAUGUAAUUAGGAGUCAUCCCUCAGAUCACAGGCUUCCUCACAGCUUGCAAGUACAGGCAGCACACCUGUGCUGCCCCUCGGCAGGCUUCCAGAAAUGGACAUCAGAGCUAAAGCAGCUGAACUACGGGGGGCACAUACAAGACUAGAGAAGCACAAAUUAGGCUGAUUUUGACCUGCGAAGCUUCUUAUGUGAAGUCACAAAAUAAAAACUCUGCCUUAAGUAGUUUAAUCAGCUAAAUGUUGAGCACCCCCCGAUAAACCCAAUGCAGCACAGGACAGAGAAUUCAAUGAAAAUCAAGUUUUAUUAGAAUAUGAUGCAAAGCUCACUCAGAAAACUAAAGCUUCCUGUCGCUCUGUAAAAAUGUGUCUCACAGGUAGCUGCGGAAACACUCCGAGUCUAAAUAAAGGUUCCUAACACGGAGGUGAAGACAGGUCAACGUGAGGCAGCUAAAGUAAAAACUGAAAGUCUGCAGAUCACAGUGUCCUUUAAAAAGCUCGAAGCCAGUGAACUACUGAGGAAACAGCUGGAGUAGAGGUUUACAUUCCAGCUGUGCUGCUUUCACUGGCCCCACCUCACCGUGGUCACAGACACAAGGUCCUGUGUAAAUUUCAGCUACAAGCUCUCAGAGCUGCGAUGUAGACGAGACUCUUUCUAACGUGGCAGAAACCAAAGUGCAGUGUGAGCUCCACAGCUGAGCUCGCAUGAUCCCGCUGCACCACAGAGGAAGAAGUUACAGGUUAAAGGCCAGCAAGUAACACACCAUCUGAAUCCAAAAUGUUCACAACAAAGAUCAAACAGUGAUUUCACUAGAAUAAAAACCUCAGGAAAAGGACAAACAGUCCUCUUGCAAACCUCAUUCUACAAGAAAAACAGUUUAAAAUCAACAGUUUAGUGCAAACAAAGUCAACUUAAAUCCAAAAAGUUUAAAAGUUCAAUAACACACAAACAGUCUUCCUCUGUCUUUAAUAAGGAGUCCCUCAUGGAAGCAUUUCAGGGCCUCUGCUGUUUCCAGUAAACCUGCUAAUACAUUUAAAGCUGCGGCUUCGCCCAAACCUCCAGUUUGUGUCGUUUCCAGGCAGAGAGGAUGAAGAGCUGGAGGUCCAGACCAGGAAUCAUGUUUCAGGAAGAAAUCUGUCCUUUGAGUCUGCAAGCGCUUACACGUCAACACGUUAGCUGGGAAUCGCGGUUCCCCGACUUUGUUCUUUGUGAUCAGCACCGACUCUGAAUGGCGUCCUGAAAUUUCUCCACCAAAGUCGGAAUCCUUCAUCGUGAACUUCUUUGUUGCCCUAAAAAUAGUCAGAAAUGUGAGUGUGUGCACGGACGUCAGGAGAAGCGCCGGGCCAGCUCCACGUUAUGCAUUUGGUCCCGUCUUUGGAGUUUGUUUAGUUCAUGUGUGUGCUGCCCUCUGCUGGUUCCUGCUAUGAUAUGAUGUCACAUAUGUGAAGGUGUACGAUUGGACUUUACUGUAAAUGGUAAUUAGAAGUAUACUGGUUUUCAUGUUCCUGUGGUUUCCUGUUAGUGACACAGUGACUGAGGGUAAAUUUAGUGUCAAUAUGAGACGUGGCUGCAGAUGUUCCUUCUGUAACAAUAACGGGAACAUCUUUCCAGGUUUAGGCUGCCAUUCAGACAAAAAUAGAUAUUUAAAGAUGGUUCCCUGAGUAUUUCCUUUAAAAAAAAAAAAAAAAAAAAAAAAAAAAAA